AAACACUUAAAAAAAACCAAAAACCGAGCACUUCAUUAAAGCCAGGCAACUAACAAAGCCUUCCUUACAGACAAGAGUAUGAAUCUGAUGAGGAGUUGGACCCUGAAGAAGGUUCUCCGUAGCACGCCUUCAGGAAACAACAGACACCCGGCUUAGCUGCGUGCGGUUAGCCUGAAAAACCAGUUUGCAACGCCUGGGGCCUCCCGGCAGCUCAGCUGGGUGUUUAAGGUGGAACCUCAGACCUUGUAGCGACACUGCUGUUGCCGCCUCCGGCCAGGACCGCUGCCCUCCUCUGAGGAGCAGUCAAGAAGGAAUAUAGGUUUGUCCCCAAUGGAAGCAGCUCAGGACAGCUGCUUUGAGGACGAGUCUCAGGCGAGGCUCACCGGGCGACUCAACUACCCCAUCUGCCGACUCAGCCAGGAAAUGCAGAAGACCGAGCCGGUCGGCAGUGACAUUUAUGAUCCAGAGAAACCCGCACGAGGACGACGCUAUUAGCCUCAUUUCACAGAUGAGGAAACCCCACCGCCCAGCCUCUACCAGGCCUUCCUUGUCCGAUUGGACCAGGCCUCUGCAGAGCCCCCUCCAAAGGGCCCUCUGCCUCCUGCACUUCCGGCUUCCAGAGAGAUCAUUCUGAAGGACUCUUCCUUUUCACUCACCACCCUCUUCUCCAGUUCUGCUUUUGGGCCCAGUACCUUGGCCUCGGUUAGUUAUUUUUGUCUGGUUACACUUCCCCUGGUCAAAGAGGAGACCGAGACGGAAAGGAUAUUAUAUUUGUUUCUAUAUA
Felis catus (domestic cat) is the source of this 784-nucleotide long non-coding RNA. RefSeq lists it as uncharacterized. NCBI's taxonomy places the organism in Eukaryota, Metazoa, Chordata, Mammalia, Carnivora, Felidae. The transcript has 2 exons. The record is from RefSeq and is a predicted model, not a curated record.